RNAcentral lists this ribosomal RNA (253 nucleotides) under uncultured bacterium. RNAcentral's name for it is "partial 16S ribosomal RNA". It matches the Rfam family "Bacterial small subunit ribosomal RNA", at positions 524 to 776 of the family's 1533-position model. The record is from RNAcentral.
UACGGAGGGUGCAAGCGUUAUCCGGAUUCACUGGGUUUAAAGGGUGCGUAGGUGGGCAAGUAAGUCAGUGGUGAAAUCUCCGGGCUUAACCCGGAAACUGCCAUUGAUACUAUUUGUCUUGAAUACUGUGGAGGUCAGCGGAAUAUGUCAUGUAGCGGUGAAAUGCUUAGAUAUGACAUAGAACACCAAUUGCGAAGGCAGCUUGCUAAACGAUCAUUGACGCUGAGGCACGAAAGCGUGGGGAUCAAACAGG